UACGUAGGGUGCGAGCGUUAAUCGGAAUUACUGGGCGUAAAGCGUGCGCAGGCGGUUUUGUAGGCCAGAUGUGAAAUCCCCGGGCUUAACCUGGGAAUGGCAUUUGGGACUGCAAGGCUCGAGUGCGGCAGAGGAGACUGGAAUUCCUGGUGUAGCAGUGAAAUGCGUAGAUAUCAGGGGGAACACCGAUGGCGAAGGCAGGUCUCUGGGCUGACACUGACGCUCAUGCACGAAAGCGUGGGGAGCAAACAGG
This 253-nucleotide ribosomal RNA is filed under the name uncultured bacterium. Its description in RNAcentral is "partial 16S ribosomal RNA". It matches the Rfam family "Bacterial small subunit ribosomal RNA", at positions 524 to 776 of the family's 1533-position model. The record is from RNAcentral.